This 253-nucleotide ribosomal RNA is filed under the name uncultured bacterium. Its description in RNAcentral is "partial 16S ribosomal RNA". It matches the Rfam family "Bacterial small subunit ribosomal RNA", at positions 524 to 776 of the family's 1533-position model. The record is from RNAcentral.
UACAGAGGUCUCAAGCGUUGUUCGGAUUCAUUGGGCGUAAAGGGUGCGUAGGUGGCGGGGUAAGUCAGGUGUGAAAUCUCGGAGCUCAACUCCGAAACUGCACUUGAUACUGCCUUGCUCGAGUACUGGAGAGGAGAUUGGAAUUUACGGUGUAGCAGUGAAAUGCGUAGAUAUCGUAAGGAAGACCGGUGGCGAAAGCUAGUCUCUGGACAGUCACUGACACUGAGGCACGAAGGCCAGGGGAGCAAACGGG